UAUCGACGAGUUUGAUCCUGGCUCAGAACGAACGCUGGCGGCAUGCCUAACACAUGCAAGUCGAACGAUGCCUUCGGGCAUAGUGGCGCACGGGUGCGUAACGCGUGGGAAUCUGCCCUUGGGUUCGGAAUAACUUAGAGAAAUUUGAGCUAAUACCGGAUGAUGACGUAAGUCCAAAGAUUUAUCGCCCAAGGAUGAGCCCGCGUAAGAUUAGCUAGUUGGUGGGGUAAAGGCCUACCAAGGCGACGAUCUUUAGCUGGUCUGAGAGGAUGAUCAGCCACACUGGGACUGAGACACGGCCCAGACUCCUACGGGAGGCAGCAGUGGGGAAUAUUGGACAAUGGGCGAAAGCCUGAUCCAGCAAUGCCGCGUGAGUGAUGAAGGCCUUAGGGUUGUAAAGCUCUUUUACCAGGGAUGAUAAUGACAGUACCUGGAGAAUAAGCUCCGGCUAACUCCGUG
RNAcentral lists this ribosomal RNA (459 nucleotides) under uncultured bacterium. RNAcentral's name for it is "bacterial SSU rRNA". It matches the Rfam family "Bacterial small subunit ribosomal RNA", at positions 1 to 507 of the family's 1533-position model. The record is from RNAcentral.